GCUGGGCGUGGUGGCAUGUACCUGUAGUCUCAGCUACUCAGAGGCUGAGGCUGGAGGACUGCUUGAGUCCAGGAGUUCUGGGCUGUAGUGCACUAUGCCGAUCAGACGUCCACAUCAAGUUUGGCAUCAAUAUGGUGACCUCCCAAGAGCAGGGGACCACCAGGUUGCCUAAGGAGGGGUGAACUGGCCCAGGUCGGAAACGGAGCAGGUCAAAACUCCCAUGCUGAUCAGUAGUGGGAUUGUGCCUGUAAACAGCCACUGCCCUCUAGCCUGGGCAACAUAUCAUGAUCACGUCUCA
RNAcentral lists this signal recognition particle RNA (298 nucleotides) under Aotus nancymaae (Ma's night monkey). RNAcentral's name for it is "Metazoan signal recognition particle RNA (ENSANAG00000006775.1)". It matches the Rfam family "Metazoan signal recognition particle RNA". From Rfam's summary of the family: The signal recognition particle (SRP) is a universally conserved ribonucleoprotein. The record is from RNAcentral. Lineage: Eukaryota; Metazoa; Chordata; Mammalia; Primates; Aotidae.